UAGAAUGUCACAAAACGACUGGCC
Molecule: non-coding RNA, 24 nt
Filed under: Mus musculus (house mouse)
Lineage: Eukaryota; Metazoa; Chordata; Mammalia; Rodentia; Muridae
Source: RNAcentral